Molecule: ribosomal RNA, 200 nt
Filed under: uncultured bacterium
Lineage: Bacteria
Description: partial 16S ribosomal RNA
Rfam family: Bacterial small subunit ribosomal RNA
Source: RNAcentral
AGAGUUUGAUCAUGGCUCAGAACGAACGCUGGCGGCAUGCCUAACACAUGCAAGUCGGACGCUUUUGCGGUUUCGGCCGCAAGGGAGUGGCGGACGGGUGAGUAGCGCGUGGGAACCUGCCCUGUUGUGGGGGAUAACCGAGGGAAACUUCGGCUAAUACCGCAUGCGCCGGGAGCAAUCCCGGGAAAGAUUUAUCGCAG